Oncorhynchus nerka (sockeye salmon) is the source of this 711-nucleotide long non-coding RNA. RefSeq lists it as uncharacterized. Lineage: Eukaryota; Metazoa; Chordata; Actinopteri; Salmoniformes; Salmonidae. The transcript is spliced from 2 exons. The record is from RefSeq and is a predicted model, not a curated record.
UGAUGUUGUCUCCUGUCCCUCUCCAUGUCCAUGUGAUGUUAGGAGGAGAUCCAGAGCCGAUUCCUGGGGCGGUGCAGGUCAGAGUCGCUGGUUCUCCCUCUGUCAGAGGAGGAGUCAACACUGAGGGCUUCUGGGUUAGAGCUGGAGACAGGAAAUACAAACACAGAAGACAACCACAACUACCACCACCACCAACAGCAUCACCCUGGACCAUCGCCUUCAGUCCAGCAAAGAUAACAGGAGAGAAGGGACUAUGUGCUGUAAUUUCAUGCACCUUCAAUCAUGCAGAGAACUUCAAACCUACUGCAGCAAUAUGGUUCAAAUGUCCUAAAAAUGGCAAAUGUGAUCAGGAUGAAAAUAUAAUUAUCCACUCUGAAACUCCCUCUGAAGCUCAGGAGGGUUAUGAACAGAAAGUGUCUCUACUGGAGACCGAUCUGACAAAGAAGAACUGUAGUGUGAUCAUCAACGACAUCAGAGAGAAUGACACUGGAGAGUAUCAAUUCAGACUGCUAAGUGCAUAUACAUACCCCAAGAAAGUGAAAAUCACAGUGAAAGUUAGCAACUACACAGUGAUGUAGCAACUACAGAUUUCCCUUUUAAGUCUAUCAAAAGUGUGCAAGUUUGAGCAUGUGUCCAUUAGACCUCUAUGGAUAUUUUUUUUUAAAUCAGCAUGAAUUAGAUUGAGCAAUAAAAGCCCACUUUUAUUCCAUA